GUGCACCAGUCGCGAAACCUCCGCAAUGCACGCAAGUGCGACGGGGGAACCCCAAGUGCCACUCUUAACGGGGUGGCUUUUCAGAAGUGUAAAAAGCUUCUGGAAUAAGGGCUGGGCAAGACCGGUGCCAGCCGCCGCGGUAACACCGGCAGCUCAAGUGGUAGCCGCUUUUAUUGGGCCUAAAGCGUCCGUAGCCGGUCUGAUAAGUCUCUGGUGAAAUCCCACAGCUUAACUGUGGGAAUUGCUGGAGAUACUAUCAUGACUCGAGGUCGGGAGAGGCUGGAGGUACUCCCAGGGUAGGGGUGAAAUCCUGUAAUCCUGGGAGGACCACCUGUGGCGAAGGCGUCCAGCUGGAACGAACCUGACGGUGAGGGACGAAAGCCAGGGGCGCGAACCGGAUUAGAUACCCAAGUAGUCC
Molecule: ribosomal RNA, 418 nt
Filed under: uncultured Methanothermobacter sp.
Lineage: Archaea; Methanobacteriati; Methanobacteriota; Methanobacteria; Methanobacteriales; Methanobacteriaceae
Description: bacterial SSU rRNA
Rfam family: Archaeal small subunit ribosomal RNA
Source: RNAcentral